GGCGUUUGCUCACUCCACUAUAUGAGCGGCGUACAUCCAAAAAGGAGGUCAAAUCACCGUAAGACUCACGGUGCGGCAGUGUGGAGACCUGCCGUAAAUGCGGAGCAACAAUAUUCUGUUGCCCGUGAGGCGAUUUUGCGGAGGCACUAUCGUCAGAGUCGUGUUUAUG
RNAcentral lists this non-coding RNA (169 nucleotides) under human gut metagenome. RNAcentral's name for it is "malK-I RNA". It matches the Rfam family "malK-I RNA". The record is from RNAcentral.